RNAcentral lists this ribosomal RNA (448 nucleotides) under Staphylococcus haemolyticus. RNAcentral's name for it is "bacterial SSU rRNA". It matches the Rfam family "Bacterial small subunit ribosomal RNA", at positions 35 to 473 of the family's 1533-position model. The record is from RNAcentral. Lineage: Bacteria; Bacillati; Bacillota; Bacilli; Caryophanales; Staphylococcaceae.
GCUGGCGGCGUGCCUAAUACAUGCAAGUCGAGCGAACAGACAAGGAGCUUGCUCCUUUGACGUUAGCGGCGGACGGGUGAGUAACACGUGGGUAACCUACCUAUAAGACUGGGAUAACUUCGGGAAACCGGAGCUAAUACCGGAUAAUAUUUCGAACCGCAUGGUUCGAUAGUGAAAGAUGGUUUUGCUAUCACUUAUAGAUGGACCCGCGCCGUAUUAGCUAGUUGGUAAGGUAACGGCUUACCAAGGCGACGAUACGUAGCCGACCUGAGAGGGUGAUCGGCCACACUGGAACUGAGACACGGUCCAGACUCCUACGGGAGGCAGCAGUAGGGAAUCUUCCGCAAUGGGCGAAAGCCUGACGGAGCAACGCCGCGUGAGUGAUGAAGGUCUUCGGAUCGUAAAACUCUGUUAUUAGGGAAGAACAUACGUGUAAGUAACUAUGCAC